GCGAUUAGUCGGCGUUAAUAUAUGACCCGACUAGCAGCUUCCGGGAAACCAAAGUUUUUCGUUUCCGGGGGAAGUAUGGUUGCAAAGCUGAAACUUAAAGGAAUUGACGGAAGGGCACCACCAGGAGUGGAGCCUGCGGCUUAAUUUGACUCAACACGGGAAAACUCACCCGGCCCGGACACCGUAAGGAUUGACAGACUGAGAGCUCUUUCUUAAUUCGGUGGGUGGUGGUGCAUGGCCGUUCUUAGUUGGUGGAGCGAUUUGUCUGGUUAAUUCCGAUAACGAACGAGACUCUGGCCUAUUAAAUAGACGGUUUAUUUCACAGUAGAUCGAACUUCUUAGAGGGACAAGCGGCGUCUAGCCGCAUGAAAUAGAGCAAUAACAGGUCUGUGAUGCCCUUAGAUGUCCGGGGCUGCACGCGCGCUACACUGAAAGAAUCAGUGGGCGUGUUUCCUAGUUCGGAAGGACUGGGUAACCCAAGUAAAUUCUUUCGUGCUUGGGAUAGGGAAUUGCAAUUAUUUCCCUUAAACGAGGAAUUCCCAGUAAAUGCGGGUCAUAAGCUCGCGUUGAUUACGUC
RNAcentral lists this ribosomal RNA (577 nucleotides) under Paraxonchium sp. TKb1. RNAcentral describes it as "SSU rRNA". It matches the Rfam family "Eukaryotic small subunit ribosomal RNA", at positions 1049 to 1651 of the family's 1831-position model. The record is from RNAcentral. Lineage: Eukaryota; Metazoa; Nematoda; Enoplea; Dorylaimida; Aporcelaimidae.